UUCAUCUCUGAGCCAAUCACCGAGGCCAGGAAGACAGGGAGCCCUGAUUGGUCUGCUCUGGCGGUGAGCGUGGCUACUGGACCUGGCACCUUUGGAGGUCCGCCUUUGAGGUUUCAGGCAAGAACCUGGAGUCUCCUCCCAAUCGUCUCUAAUAGGCGGAGCCCUCAGAAGACAAUUCUUCCAGCAACACGGGCUGCUGGCAGGCGCAGAGGGGCAGAGUAGGUGGGGCCAGCCAGCUUUGAGCCAUCUCUGGAAGAAGCCUAUGUGCGCUUUCGGGCUGCUCAGCGGGUGCGGCCACCAGGGGGCAGCAUCCCCUUGUAGUCACCGCUGUCUCCGCAAGCAAGAGACUCUUUCCAGCAGAGGGCACUGCUCAUCGCCUUGUUCGCUGGGACAGAUUUUGGGGGAGGGAGAAGUGAGAUGAGGAGCAGAGUUGGCAUGGACAGAAGUUGACAGCCACAUUGGCCUAGAACCAUGGACAUUUUAGGACCUUGUUCCUGGUUUGUAUAAGGGUAAGACUUUGUCCUUGACAGAUGGUGGUGGCACACGCCUUUAAUCCCAGCAUUUGGAUGGGAUGCCAGCUUGGUCUACAAAGGGAGUCCUCGGACAGCCAGAACUGUUACAGAGACCUGUCUUGAAAAACAAAACAAGUCAAUGAGACAUUGCCCUAAAUAUUGAAGUCUUAUUCAUAGGGUUUGACGACAGAAACUAAUAAAGGACUCUAUAUGAGAGAAGACCCUUGCAGCCCUAUCAAGAGGAAAUGUUUGUUCAAGGUAUAAAUGACAAUAAACAUAGUCCAGGACGUGG
Molecule: non-coding RNA, 804 nt
Organism: Peromyscus maniculatus bairdii (prairie deer mouse)
Lineage: Eukaryota; Metazoa; Chordata; Mammalia; Rodentia; Cricetidae
Source: RefSeq, a predicted model, not a curated record